RNAcentral lists this transfer RNA (74 nucleotides) under Junonia erigone. Its description in RNAcentral is "tRNA-Ser". Lineage: Eukaryota; Metazoa; Arthropoda; Insecta; Lepidoptera; Nymphalidae. The record is from RNAcentral.
AAUUAAUUAAUUAAUGAGCUUGUUAUAAGCAUUUGUUUUGAAAACAUAAGAAAGAAUAUUUAUUCUAUUAAUUU